RNAcentral lists this small RNA (799 nucleotides) under Oryza sativa Japonica Group (Japanese rice). RNAcentral's name for it is "sRNA Os07g0273500". Lineage: Eukaryota; Viridiplantae; Streptophyta; Magnoliopsida; Poales; Poaceae. The record is from RNAcentral.
AGGGCCUGUAAUCUAGUGGUUACAAGAGCCUCAGUAGCACCUUAGAUCCUGGGUUUGACUCCUCAUGAGAGAGCGAUUUUUUUAGGAUUUAACGGCUUUGUGUUUUUAGUGGUAGAAGUGUUUGUGGGUCAUGAGAGCGAUUUUUUUAGGAUUUAACGGCUUUGUGUUUUCAGUGGUAUGCGUGUUUGUGAGUGUCUGCGUUCAGUGGCGAAUCCAGGAUGUAAAUUGAGGGGGUGCUAGUGUAAAAAUAUAAUGUGAUUAAAACAAAUAAAGAUAUAUCAACUAAAGUAUUUUCCAAUGAAUACCAAAAGCGCAUAUGAUCAAAACAAUUUUCUCUAUUUUGAUUUGUGUCUAUCUUAAAAUAUUCAUAAAAAUCUGUGAAUAUAUUGUUUUGUAUACUCAGAGUAGAUUCUAUUUGGGAAAAUUUGAACCAUGCCACACAAAUUUUCCAAAAUUUGUGAUAUGACACCCUGACCCACAUGUCAUUGACUCAUGUGGGUUCUACAUGUCAUUGAGAUACGGGUGGCAUAUCUCAAAUUUUGCAAAAUUAGGGUGGUAUGGUUCCAACAAACCCAUUCUAUUUUACCAGUUUGGACAGUAGAAGCAGUGAGGAAGCCUGCAUCUUUGCCGUCUGGGAAUUUUCUUCACUAAUGACUAACUAGACUUGUUAAUGAUUAAUUAGGGGUAGGGAUUAGAGCUAGGGCUGGCGCACCAACCAGUCCCAACAGUGGAUCCGCCACUAUCUGCGUUGUACUGUAUAAUUCUUAAAAAAAAAGUUACGUUGUACUGUGUAAUUCUC